AGAGUUUGAUCCUGGCUCAGAACGAACGCUGGCGGCAUGCCUAAUACAUGCAAGUCGAACGAAGGCUUCGGCCUUAGUGGCGCACGGGUGCGUAACGCGUGGGAAUCUGCCUUGGGGUUCGGAAUAACAGUUGGAAACGACUGCUAAUACCGGAUGAUGACGUAAGUCCAAAGAUUUAUCGCCCUGAGAUGAGCCCGCGUCGGAUUAGCUAGUUGGUGGGGUAAAGGCCUACCAAGGCGACGAUCCGUAGCUGGUCUGAGAGGAUGAUCAGCCACACUGGGACUGAGACACGGCCCAGACUCCUACGGGAGGCAGCAGUAGGGAAUAUUGGACAAUGGGCGAAAGCCUGAUCCAGCAAUGCCGCGUGAGUGAUGAAGGCCUUAGGGUUGUAAAGCUCUUUUACCCGGGAUGAUAAUGACAGUACCGGGAGAAUAAGCCCCGGCUAACUCCGUG
This 453-nucleotide ribosomal RNA is filed under the name uncultured Sphingomonas sp. RNAcentral's name for it is "bacterial SSU rRNA". It matches the Rfam family "Bacterial small subunit ribosomal RNA", at positions 8 to 507 of the family's 1533-position model. Lineage: Bacteria; Pseudomonadati; Pseudomonadota; Alphaproteobacteria; Sphingomonadales; Sphingomonadaceae. The record is from RNAcentral.